Long non-coding RNA from Sphaeramia orbicularis (orbiculate cardinalfish), 191 nucleotides. RefSeq lists it as uncharacterized. The transcript has 3 exons. The record is from RefSeq and is a predicted model, not a curated record. NCBI's taxonomy places the organism in Eukaryota, Metazoa, Chordata, Actinopteri, Kurtiformes, Apogonidae.
UAUGAUGAUCCUAUGAUUCUGGCCAUAGCAACGUGAUUGUAAUGCUAUUGUAUUCCAAAAUUACGAAAAUCUCCCAAAAUAUUCGUCCUAUCAACUUAUCGUUUUCACCAGUCUGUUCAUUGACCAAAAAUACAUAAGUAUGACAAACUGCAGCAGUCAGCUCUGUAUGGAUUUAGUGUGAAUCCCCGGAC